UGAAAACAGGUUUGAAGAGGGAAUUUGAUGAAGUUUUUACAAAGAAAAUGAUUGAGUCUAUGAGCCGUCCUUCCAUGGAGCUUGUUCUCUGGAAACCCCUCCCUGAACUCCUUUCUGAUAAGCCAAAGCCAUCCUCUAAUACUAAGAACUAUACAGGAGAGAGCCAAGCUAAGCAUGUAGCUGCUGGCACUGCCUUCCCUCAGAGAACUGAACUGUUUUCGGAACCUCGGCCAACAGGGAUGUCUCUUUAUAAUAGUUUGGAGACAGCUACUAGCACAGAAGAAGAGAUGGAACUCUAGAAACCAAUUUCUACACUAAAGUUGUCAAAUGUUAGAAGAAUCCUGUGUUCAGUUAUGAGACUCUUUGCAUAGUAUAGGGACUUGAAAGUUUUAUGAGACGGGUGUAAUAAUAUCUCCACCUGUGAUUUGGGGGUGGGACUCUUAUUUUGGGUAGCCAUUUAUUGACUUCACCUUUUUGCCAAGGACGUUUGUCUCAAGGGAAAAGCAGUUUUCUGUGGGGCUUAUUAAAGGAAUGUUGGUUUACAUUGUCUUCAAAGACAAGUAUAGAAGCUGUAUGUGUAAGGGUGACUUAAAUCAUAUGUCACAUUGUCUAAACUAUUCAGACACUUGGAGAAUAUUCUCCUUGAAUUAAAAAAGAUGAUUAAGAAGGAUGCUCCUACAACUGUAUCCUGACAGUUAAGUCACAGCUUAAUGUGUAGAUAUGAGC
This 726-nucleotide long non-coding RNA is filed under the name Homo sapiens (human). RNAcentral's name for it is "HSALNT0276680". The record is from RNAcentral. Lineage: Eukaryota; Metazoa; Chordata; Mammalia; Primates; Hominidae.